UACGUAGGGCGCAAGCGUUGUCCGGAAUUAUUGGGCGUAAAGAGCUCGUAGGCGGCUUGUCACGUCGGGUGUGAAAGCCCGGGGCUUAACCCCGGGUCUGCAUUCGAUACGGGCUAGCGAGAGUGUGGUAGGGGAGAUCGGAAUUCCUGGUGUAGCGGUGAAAUGCGCAGAUAUCAGGAGGAACACCGGUGGCGAAGGCGGAUCUCUGGGCCAUUACUGACGCUGAGGAGCGAAAGCGUGGGGAGCGAACAGG
This 253-nucleotide ribosomal RNA is filed under the name uncultured bacterium. RNAcentral's name for it is "partial 16S ribosomal RNA". It matches the Rfam family "Bacterial small subunit ribosomal RNA", at positions 524 to 776 of the family's 1533-position model. The record is from RNAcentral.